Molecule: long non-coding RNA, 747 nt
Filed under: Polistes fuscatus (common paper wasp)
Lineage: Eukaryota; Metazoa; Arthropoda; Insecta; Hymenoptera; Vespidae
Description: uncharacterized LOC122522195
Source: RNAcentral
CUUCUUACGUGCGUACAUAAGUACACACACCAGUUUUUAUAAUAUUCGCAUUGAACGAAUUCCAAAUAUUCCACAGACACAAAAAAACGUGUAAGAAAAUUAAAUCCAAUACGGAAAAUAUUUUCAAUGUUGCAAUCUUAGGUAAUCACAGGUACUCGUAUAAAUCACAAAAAGUCUUGUCGUAGUCAUUCUUCGUUUUUCGAUUGAAGUUAGGUAAAUCUCAUAUUAUUGGAAUAAAUUGGAAAAAUAAUCCAAUUGCCAUCAAAUCUGAUUGAGUAUUUUCAAAAGUUUCCUGACACUAUAUAAGAAGAUAAUCAUAAGACAUCCAACGGAUUAUCAACAUUCGACAACGUACAACAUAUUUUUUGUAUAAAUUAUUAUACAUCAAUAAUCCGAACAUACAUUUAGCAACCAUGCGAAUCUUCGACAUUUUUCAAUUUCAAUUUUUCACGAUAACAUAUAUACUCGAACGAAUUCUAAUAUCGUCUUUUGAACAUCAAGAGAAAAAUCUUCAACGAAAGUAAAAGGAAAAGAAGAAGAAGAAGAAGAAGAAGCAGAAGAAGAAAGGUUGCUACUAGCAGCCGGUACUACUGGAUGCGCACCAUUCUCAUAGUAAUAUCUUACACUAGAAGGUAGUAGUAGUAGUAUGAUCUCGAUCAUCGAUUCUUCAACCUAGCGUAAAUUAUUCUUCCAGGCAAUAUUCCUUAUUCGAAGGUAACAUUUCUUACUUUACAAAUCUUUCUCGUA